AGUUUGAUCCUGGCUCAGGAUGAACGCUAGCGGCAGGCCUAAUACAUGCAAGUCGAGGGGUAGAGGAGAGCUUGCUUUCCUUGAGACCGGCGCACGGGUGCGUAACGCGUAUGCAACCUACCUUAAUCUGGGGGAUAGCCUCUCGAAAGAGAGAUUAACACCGCAUAAAAUCAAAGAACGGCAUCGUUUAAUGAUCAAAUAUUUAUAGGAUUAAGAUGGGCAUGCGUGACAUUAGCUAGUUGGUGAGGUAACGGCUCACCAAGGCGACGAUGUCUAGGGGAUCUGAGAGGAUGACCCCCCACACUGGUACUGAGACACGGACCAGACUCCUACGGGAGGCAGCAGUAAGGAAUAUUGGUCAAUGGAGGCAACUCUGAACCAGCCAUGCCGCGUGCAGGAAGACGGCCCUACGGGUUGUAAACUGCUUUUAUUCGGGAAUAAACCUUUUUACGUGUAAGAA
RNAcentral lists this ribosomal RNA (460 nucleotides) under Pedobacter sp. R-43111. RNAcentral's name for it is "bacterial SSU rRNA". It matches the Rfam family "Bacterial small subunit ribosomal RNA", at positions 10 to 468 of the family's 1533-position model. The record is from RNAcentral. Lineage: Bacteria; Pseudomonadati; Bacteroidota; Sphingobacteriia; Sphingobacteriales; Sphingobacteriaceae.